GACGGGUGAGUAACGCGUGGGUAACCUGCCCAUAAGUGGGGAAUAACAGUUGGAAACGACUGCUAAUACCGCAUAAGCUGAGCAAUCAGUAAAGGAGGCUAACGCUUCCGCUUAUGGAUGGGCCCGCGUCUGAUUAGCUGGUUGGUGGGGUAAUGGCCUACCAAGGCAACGAUCAGUAGCCGGCCUGAGAGGGUGGACGGCCACACUGGGACUGAGACACGGCCCAGACUCCUACGGGAGGCAGCAGUGGGGAAUAUUGCGCAAUGGGGGAAACCCUGACGCAGCGACGCCGCGUGAGCGAAGAAGGCCUUAGGGUCGUAAAGCUCUGUUUUAAGGGACGAAUAUCCUCAGUAGUAACUGACUGGGGAAUGACGGUACCUUAAGAGAAAGCCCCGGCUAACUACGUGCCAGCAGCCGCGGUAAGACGUAGGGGGCGAGCGUUGUCCGGAAUUACUGGGCGUAAAGAGCACGUAGGCGGGAUUUUAAGUCAGGUGUGAAAGACCGUGGCUCAACCACGGGGUUGCACAUGAAACUGGAAUUCUUGAGGGCAGGAGAGGAAAGUGGAAUUCCUGGUGUAGCGGUGAAAUGCGUAGAAAUCAGGAGGAACACCGGUGGCGAAGGCGACUUUCUGGACUGACCCUGACGCUGAGGUGCGAAAGCGUGGGUAGCAAACAGGAUUAGAUACCCUGGUAGUCCACGCUGUAAACGAUGGAUACUAGGUGUGGGAGGUAUCGACCCCUUCCGUGCCGCAGCAAACGCAAUAAGUAUCCCGCCUGGGGAGUACGGUCGCAAGGCUGAAACUCAAGGAUUGACGGGGGCCCGCACAA
This 827-nucleotide ribosomal RNA is filed under the name uncultured bacterium. RNAcentral's name for it is "bacterial SSU rRNA". It matches the Rfam family "Bacterial small subunit ribosomal RNA", at positions 100 to 928 of the family's 1533-position model. The record is from RNAcentral.